RNAcentral lists this small nuclear RNA (157 nucleotides) under Sorex araneus (European shrew). RNAcentral's name for it is "U1 spliceosomal RNA (ENSSARG00000016681.1)". It matches the Rfam family "U1 spliceosomal RNA". Rfam says of the family: U1 is a small nuclear RNA (snRNA) component of the spliceosome (involved in pre-mRNA splicing). Its 5' end forms complementary base pairs with the 5' splice junction, thus defining the 5' donor site of an intron. Lineage: Eukaryota; Metazoa; Chordata; Mammalia; Eulipotyphla; Soricidae. The record is from RNAcentral.
GUAUGUACCUAGCAGAGGAGAUGAUCACAAAGGUGGUUUUCUCAAUAGAUGGUGAUCCAUUGCCCUCUGGAUGUGCUGGCCCCGGCAAUUUCCUCAAACGUGGGAAAUCUGACUGCCUCGUUUGCGGUGAGGAGGACUGUGUUUGUGCUCUCCCCUA